AAUAGAUACCCUGGUAGUCCACGCCGUAAACGAUGAGUGCUAAGUGUUAGGGGGUUUCCGCCCCUUAGUGCUGCAGCUAACGCAUUAAGCACUCCGCCUGGGGAGUACGGUCGCAAGACUGAAACUCAAAGGAAUUGACGGGGGCCCGCACAAGCGGUGGAGCAUGUGGUUUAAUUCGAAGCAACGCGAAGAACCUUACCAGGUCUUGACAUCCCAUUGACCGCUAUGGAGACAUAGCUUUCCCUUCGGGGACAGUGGUGACAGGUGGUGCAUGGUUGUCGUCAGCUCGUGUCGUGAGAUGUUGGGUUAAGUCCCGCAACGAGCGCAACCCUUGUUCUUAGUUGCCAUCAUUUAGUUGGGCACUCUAAGGAGACUGCCGGUGACAAACCGGAGGAAGGUGGGGAUGACGUCAAAUCAUCAUGCCUCUUAUGACCUGGGCUACACACGUGCUACAAUGGACGGUACAAACGGGUUGCCAACCCGCGAGGGGAGCUAAUCCGAUAAAACCGUUCUCAGUUCGGAUUGUAGGCUGCAACUCGCCUA
RNAcentral lists this ribosomal RNA (543 nucleotides) under uncultured bacterium. Its description in RNAcentral is "bacterial SSU rRNA". It matches the Rfam family "Bacterial small subunit ribosomal RNA", at positions 777 to 1318 of the family's 1533-position model. The record is from RNAcentral.